RNAcentral lists this long non-coding RNA (688 nucleotides) under Helianthus annuus (common sunflower). Its description in RNAcentral is "hypothetical non coding rna". The record is from RNAcentral. Lineage: Eukaryota; Viridiplantae; Streptophyta; Magnoliopsida; Asterales; Asteraceae.
CCAACAACCUCCAUACCACCAUACUCCGACCAUCAACCACUACUUCUGCUCACGACCAUCGCCGCCAGCCCGCCGCCUUCGUUUCAGUCCAACUAAAUAACCAAAUUAGACUGCAUUCGGUCGAGCCUAACAAUAACUUCUGCAGCGAUUUAGGUUAUCACUUGAUCGUAUCUCACUGCAGCGAUUGUUACGAUGAUCGGUUGUUCUCUUGAGAUAGUGAUACUCAGCAGAGUUCCAGGAUCAGGAUCACGGACCAUCAUAGGAUCCUCAUGCUAACAGUUGCUUUCAUUGAAUUUAAUGUCACUUUGCAGGGAUGUCUAGCAGGAUCCGCUCUUAGCAUCACAAUCAAGGGACGCGUCUUUACAACUUUGGCAUAUGCUUAAUCAGAGAUGAACGUUGUGAAGGAUAUGGAAACUUGGCAUGAUUUAAGGGCUAUAAUUUAGGCUAGAUUUACUUUUAUUUCUAAAGGGGUAAUGAGCUGAUUAUUAGUUUGUUUACCUAAAAUAGGCCACUCACACUUGUAUAUAUAACACUCUUCCCCAUUCGGAAGACACACAACACAUUUCUCACACGCUUAGACACUCGAAACUAUAGUGAUCCUUGUACUCAGCUCAUUAUCAUCCGAAGUUGUAACCAUUUUUUCUUAUAUUGAAGUUUGGUGAUUGGUAGUUGCCAUCACCCGAGUUUU